Molecule: unclassified non-coding RNA, 377 nt
Filed under: uncultured Gammaproteobacteria bacterium
Lineage: Bacteria; Pseudomonadati; Pseudomonadota; Gammaproteobacteria
Description: contains 16S-23S intergenic spacer region
Source: RNAcentral
UCCAGUUUGUCACUGGCAGUCUUCUUAGAGUGCCCACCAUUAUGUGCUGGUAACUAAGAACAAGGGUUGCGCUCGUUACGGGACUUAACCCAACAUCUCACGACACGAGCUGACGACAGCCAUGCAGCACCUGUCUCUCGGCUCCCGAAGGCACUCUCCCUAUGAGAGGAGAUUCCAAGGAUGUCAAGGAUAGGUAAGGUUCUUCGCGUUGCAUCGAAUUAAACCACAUGCUCCACCGCUUGUGCAGGCCCCCGUCAAUUCAUUUGAGUUUUAACCUUGCGGCCGUACUCCCCAGGCGGAGAACUUAUCGCGUUAGCUGCGGCACUAAGAGACGAAUCUCCCAACGCCUAGUUCUCAUCGUUUACGGCGUGGACUAC